Molecule: ribosomal RNA, 216 nt
Filed under: uncultured Glomeromycotina
Lineage: Eukaryota; Fungi; Glomeromycota
Description: partial small subunit ribosomal RNA
Rfam family: Eukaryotic small subunit ribosomal RNA (bases 47-216)
Source: RNAcentral
AGACCGGUUUAGUAGGUCGUGCUUUUGUACGUACUGGUAUAAUCGGUUUCUCUUUUCUGACGAACUAUAACGCCAUUAAUUUGGUGUUAUAGGGAAUCAGGACUGUUACUUUGAAAAAAUUAGAGUGUUUAAAGCAGGCUCACGCUUGAAUACAUUAGCAUGGAAUAACGAAAUAGGACGUUUGAUUCUAUUUUGUUGGUUUCUAGGAUCGACGUA